CUGGUAGAGACAGAUAGUAAUCAAGCUGGAGGGAAUGCUGGCUGGUGGUAGAUGCCAUGGAGAAGAAUAAAGCAGAGAAGGGAGAACACUUCUGGAAGGCGGUUGCCAUUUUAAAUAGUAUAGCCCUCCCUGAGGAGGUGACAGAGACCAGAGAGAGCGAGGGGGCUGUGCACUUGGGUGGGAGGAGGCAGGAGCCUGCCACCUGUCAGGGCAGAGCUGGAAGGAUGAGGGCAGAGGGGAGCAGAGGGCCAGCUCCUUACAGCUCUGUUGAAACCUUGGCUCUCGCUCUGAGAAGGGACGUGCUAAUUCAUAGAAGUUUGGCACCAAAGCUCCUUUGAAAAUAGAAGCCUAAUUAUAAUGAUAGCUGCCAUUUAUUGAGCAUUUACUGUGUGCCAAGCCCCGUUCUAAGGCGCUUUACGUGUGUUAACUCAUAGAAGCUUGGCAACUAAGAACCUUCAAGAAUAGAACCUGAAUGACCAUAAUGGCCAUCAUUAAAUCAGCACUCACAGUGGACCAGGCCCCGUAAGCGCUUUGUAUGGACAAUCGCAUCGGAUCCUUAUGAGCAUGUGGCAUCUGGACCCCUCACACCUUGCCUGCUUCACUGCUUAUGGUACCCUGCUUGGCCACAAAGAGCGUUUACAUCCUGAUGCCUGUUACAGGAUCUCAUACCAAAGCAUCUGUCAAAGCCCACACUUUUCAUCCUAGAAGCUCAGAAUCUGGGAACCUGACAUUUAUCCACUCUUUGAAUUGAGACUUUCAUAACCAUCACAGCUUAACAUCAAUGAAUCUCAGAAUCGUCAAGGCAGAAAUUCACAGCUCGUUAAAACACCACGGAUGGAUUUUAGUUCCUGGAGCAGCAUGCUUAAGCCCUCUUCUGCCCUGAGACAGGGCUUUGUUUGUUUGUUUGUUUUUUAAACCAGACUUUAUUUUUUUAAUGCAGUUUUAGGUUCAUAGCAAAAUUGAGGGAAAGAUAGAGACAUUUCCUGUGUACUUCCUCGCCCCCACACACGCAUACCUUCCCCUGGCAUCCACAUUCCCCACCACAGUGGUCCGUUUGUUACAACUGAUGAGCCUAUAUUGACACAACAUAAUCACUCAAUGUGCAUAGUUUACACUGGGAGUCACUCUUGGUGUUUGUUGCACCUUCUGUGUGUUUGGAUAAAGCGUAAUGACCUGAGUUCAUCAUUAUAAUAUCAUAGACUGUUUCCACUAUCCUAAAA
Herpailurus yagouaroundi (jaguarundi) is the source of this 1220-nucleotide long non-coding RNA. RefSeq lists it as uncharacterized. The record is from RefSeq and is a predicted model, not a curated record. Lineage: Eukaryota; Metazoa; Chordata; Mammalia; Carnivora; Felidae. The transcript has 2 exons.